This 1880-nucleotide long non-coding RNA is filed under the name Monodelphis domestica (gray short-tailed opossum). RNAcentral's name for it is "lncRNA (ENSMODG00000048205.1)". Lineage: Eukaryota; Metazoa; Chordata; Mammalia; Didelphimorphia; Didelphidae. The record is from RNAcentral.
GAGAAAUCUCUCAUUCAUUUCUACAAUUCUCACAGUAGUCCUGUUUAAAUAGGUUUUCAUUAUUGAAUUGAAAAAAAUAUAUAAUUUUUUUUUAGUGUAUGAAGAAGAUGAGAUUGAAAAGAAAAUUGUUCUACCUGGUCCAUGUCGAAGCUGGGAUGAUCUAUUCAGGUUUAUGUGUGUGGUCAAUGCUUGGACUGUUUCACAACCAGUGCCUACAAUGCAGGAUGGCAAUUUACUUCCAGAAAAAAUUUUCAUGCCACAAAAGCCAAGACGUACUACAUUUAAUAAAACAUUCAAAUGAUGUUACUUUAUUGAUAUUAACUUAUGUAAUUAUAUUACCAAGAUUGUUAUUUUUCUCUUGCAGUAUAAAUUACUAAAUAAAAUCUGUUAAAUGUGAUUGUGAAACAAAAUUUGUAAAAACUGUGGUAGAGGCAUGGAGAGAGAGAGAGGACUUGUAAGCCAAGAUGCAAGAAACAAGCUGGGGACCUAACCUGCCUAUCAGUUUACCUUUUCUAUUUCAAAACAUAUUUUCAGAAGUGCCACUAUUUUCAUUGUCAAGUUAUUGAUCAAAUCAAGCUUGAAUUGCAUUUUUAGGGCUAUUUCCUUUUUUUGUAUUGUGUUUUAUAUUAUAAUUUUGUAUUAUAUAUUUCUGCAAAUUUGAAGCCCAAUUCCAUUCAUAUAAUACUUAUUAAAUUCUCCAUGUAUAUGUUUGCAGAACAUACUCCCAAACUUAGUAGAAUUACAAAACACAUGACUUUAUUUGAUAAGAGUUCAUGGAUAAUCAGUUCAGGGAAUAUCAUAUUAACUAGUUUUAGAUAAUAGGGAUUAUCAUUAAGAAAAAACAAGAAUAUCUUUUAAAAUGAGAAAGCUUCUAAUAACUUAAAAUAUGUAAGGAUCUAAAUCAAUUGUAUAAAAAAUUAAGCCAUUUCCCAAUUGAUGAAUGGGCAAGGGACACGAAUAGGCAAUUUUCAGAUAAAAAAAUCAAAACUACCAAUGAAGAAAAGAAACACAUGAAAAAGCAUUCUAAAUCUCUUAUAAUUGGAGAAAUGCACAUCAAAACAACCCUGAGGUACCACCGCACACCUAGCAGAUUGACUAACAUGACAGCAAAGUAAAGUAACGAAUGUUGGAGGGGAUGUGGCAAAGUGGGGACAUUAAUGAUCACAAAGAAUCUGCUCAAGUUGCUAAGUAAACAAAGGAUUCUAAGAGGUGGAGGUGAGGCAGGGAACAUGUUCCAGGCAUGGCAAAUAGCUUUUACAAAGGCUCAGAGAAGAGAGGGAAUGUCAUGUGAGGACACAGCAUGGUGACCACCCAAAUCAAACCCUUUAACCAUAGGUGUCCUUUCUCUCUCUCUCCCUCUCCCUCUCUCCCUCCUUCACUAAUGAUCUCAUUAGCUCCCAUGGUUUUCAUCCCCAUCUCAAUGCUGAUGAUUCUCAAAUUUACCUAUCCUGUUCCAAUCCUCUGCUGCCUCCAAUCUCAAACUGGGUGUCAGGUAAUGUUUUAAGUUUAAUAUAUCCAAAAUAAUUCACCUUUACCUUGUUCAGUUCUUGAGGUUUGCAACCUACAAGUCAAAUUGGACUCUCUCUCUCUCUCUCUCCCCCUCUCUUGUCCCCUAAGCCCUAAUCCAAUUUGUUGCCAAGACUUGUUAAGAUUUCAUCUUUGCAGCCUCUCAAGAAUAUCUUCCCUUCUCUCUGGCACUACCUCCAUUCUACUUUCACUUGGACUGUUGCAUUGGCUGCUGGUGAAUCUACCAGCCUCAAGUCUCUCCCUGCAUCAAUCCAUCCUCCUUUCAGCCCUCAAAAGUCAUUUUUAAAAAAAGUUCAGAUUCCAUCAUGUCAUCCCUUUAUUCAAUAAAAUUCAGUGACUUCCUAUUGUAUCCA